GGGGCUGUAGCUCAGUUGGGAGAGCGCCAGCUUUGCAAGCUGGAUGUCGUCGGUUCGAGCCCGAUCAGCUCCA
This 73-nucleotide transfer RNA is filed under the name Candidatus Effluviviaceae Genus V sp. Its description in RNAcentral is "tRNA-Ala". It matches the Rfam family "tRNA". Rfam says of the family: Transfer RNA (tRNA) molecules are approximately 80 nucleotides in length. Their secondary structure includes four short double-helical elements and three loops (D, anti-codon, and T loops). The record is from RNAcentral. Lineage: Bacteria; Candidatus Effluviviacota; Candidatus Effluviviaceae.